AUGCAGUCGAGGGGCAGCAUGAUUGAAGCUUGCUUCAAUUGAUGGCGACCGGCGCACGGGUGAGUAACGCGUAUCCAACCUUCCGUACACUCAGGGAUAGCCUUUCGAAAGAAAGAUUAAUACCUGAUGGUAUGAUGAGAUUGCAUGAUAGCAUCAUUAAAGAUUUAUCGGUGUACGAUGGGGAUGCGUUCCAUUAGGUAGUAGGCGGGGUAACGGCCCACCUAGCCUACGAUGGAUAGGGGUUCUGAGAGGAAGGUCCCCCACAUUGGAACUGAGACACGGUCCAAACUCCUACGGGAGGCAGCAGUGAGGAAUAUUGGUCAAUGGACGAGAGUCUGAACCAGCCAAGUAGCGUGAAGGAUGAAGGUCCUACGGAUUGUAAACUUCUUUUAUAAGGGAAUAAAACCUCCCACGUGUGGGAGCUUGUAUGCACCUUAUGAAUAAGCAUCGGCUAACUCCGUGCCAGCAGCCGCGGUAAUACGGAGGAUGCGAGCGUUAUCCGGAUUUAUUGGGUUUAAAGGGAGCGCAGACGGGUCGUUAAGUCAGCUGUGAAAGUUUGGGGCUCAACCUUAAAAUUGCAGUUGAUACUGGCGUCCUUGAGUGCGGUUGAGGUGUGCGGAAUUCGUGGUGUAGCGGUGAAAUGCUUAGAUAUCACGAAGAACUCCGAUUGCGAAGGCAGCACACUAAGCCGUAACUGACGUUCAUGCUCGAAAGUGUGGGUAUCAAAC
Molecule: ribosomal RNA, 728 nt
Filed under: uncultured bacterium
Lineage: Bacteria
Description: bacterial SSU rRNA
Rfam family: Bacterial small subunit ribosomal RNA
Source: RNAcentral